This 463-nucleotide ribosomal RNA is filed under the name uncultured bacterium. RNAcentral's name for it is "partial 16S ribosomal RNA". It matches the Rfam family "Bacterial small subunit ribosomal RNA", at positions 28 to 507 of the family's 1533-position model. The record is from RNAcentral.
GAUGAACGCUGACAGAAUGCUUAACACAUGCAAGUCGAUGGGGAAGUGGUGCUUGCACCAUGGUAACCAUGGCGGACGGGUGAGUAACGCGUAAGGAACUUGCCUGCGGGACUGGGAUAACAGCAGGAAACUGCUGAUAAUACCGGAUAAGGUCAUUAAGCUGCAUAGCUUAGUGAUGAAAGGAGACGCCUGCGGAGAGCCUUGCGUCCUAUUAGCUAGUUGGAAGGGUAACGGCCCACCAAGGCGAAGAUAGGUAGCCGGCCUGAGAGGGUGGACGGCCACAAGGGGACUGAGAUACGGCCCUUACUCCUACGGGAGGCAGCAGUGGGGAAUAUUGGACAAUGGGGGCAACCCUGAUCCAGCAAUUCUGUGUGCACGAAGACGGUUUUCGGAUUGUAAAGUGCUUUCAGCAGGGAAGAAGGAAGUGACGGUACCUGCAGAAGAAGCGACGGCUAAAUACGUG